GAUAAACGCUGGCGGCGUGCAUAACACAUGCAAGUCGAACGAUGAAGAUUAAAAGAUUUCUUCGGAAUGAACUUAAUUGGAUUAGUGGCGGACGGGUGAGUAACGCGUGAGUAACCUGCCUUGUACAAGGGGAUAGCCGUUGGAAACGACGAAUAAUACCCUAUGACAUCAAAUAAUCGCAUGAUAAUUUGUUCAAAGAUUUAUCGGUAUAAGAUGGACUCGCGUCUGAUUAGCUAGUUGGUAGAGUAAAAGCCUACCAAGGCAACGAUCAGUAGCCGGCUUGAGAGAGUGUACGGCCACAUUGGGACUGAGACACGGCCCAGACUCCUACGGGAGGCAGCAGUGGGGAAUUUUGCACAAUGGGGGAAACCCUGAUGCAGCGACGCCGCGUGAUUUAGAAGGCCUUCGGGUUGUAAAAAUCUUUUGUAUGGGAAGAAAAUGACAGUACCAUACGAAUAAGGACCGGCUAAUUACGUG
Molecule: ribosomal RNA, 477 nt
Filed under: uncultured bacterium
Lineage: Bacteria
Description: partial 16S ribosomal RNA
Rfam family: Bacterial small subunit ribosomal RNA
Source: RNAcentral